AGGCCCUCCAGCUACCCCACGGAGUUUUGCACAUACGUGUUCCAUCUUCGUGAGGGUCGUUUUCAGGGCCAAGAUUU
This is a small nucleolar RNA of Phytomonas sp., 77 nucleotides long. It matches the Rfam family "Trypanosomatid snoRNA TB9Cs4H2". The record is from Rfam. NCBI's taxonomy places the organism in Eukaryota, Euglenozoa, Kinetoplastea, Trypanosomatida, Trypanosomatidae.